This 89-nucleotide signal recognition particle RNA is filed under the name Limosilactobacillus gastricus. RNAcentral's name for it is "Lactobacillus gastricus signal recognition particle sRNA small type". It matches the Rfam family "Bacterial small signal recognition particle RNA". Rfam says of the family: The signal recognition particle (SRP) is a universally conserved ribonucleoprotein involved in the co-translational targeting of proteins to membranes. Archaeal SRP consists of a 7S RNA and homologues of the eukaryotic SRP19 and SRP54 proteins. In most bacteria, the SRP consists of a 4.5S RNA and the Ffh protein (a homologue of the eukaryotic SRP54 protein). Lineage: Bacteria; Bacillati; Bacillota; Bacilli; Lactobacillales; Lactobacillaceae. The record is from RNAcentral.
GGUCAUAAAGCAAGGAGACGCUUACGAAUCGUGUCAGGUCUGGAAGGAAGCAGCACUAAGUUUGAUGUUUCUUGUGCUUUAUGUUAGAU